AUGCAAGUCGAACGGACCCGCAAGGGUCAGUGGCAAACGGGUGCGUAACACGUGAGGAACCUGUCCAACGGCGGGGGAUAGCCGGCCCAACGGCCGGGUAAUACCGCGUACGACCUUCGAGGGGCAUCCCUUGGGGGUGAAAGCAGCAAUGCGCCGAUGGAGGGCCUCGCGGCCUAUCAGCUAGUUGGUGAGGUCACGGCUCACCAAGGCGACGACGGGUAGCUGGUCCGAGAGGAUGACCAGCCACAUUGGGACUGAGACACGGCCCAGACUCCUACGGGAGGCAGCAGUGGGGAAUAUUGCGCAAUGGGCGAAAGCCUGACGCAGCGACGCCGCGUGUGGGAUGAAGGUCUUCGGAUUGUAAACCACUGUCGGGAGGGACGAAGCUCUGACGGUACCUCCAAAGGAAGCACCGGCUAACUCUGUGCCAGCAGCCGCGGUAAUACAGAGGGUGCAAGCGUUGUCCGGAAUCACUGGGCGUAAAGGGCGCGUAGGCGGCCUGGUAAGUAGGGGGUGAAAUUCUGCGGCUCAACCGCAGGACGGCCUCCUAAACUGCCGGGCUUGAGCACGGUAGAGGCUGGUGGAAUUCCCGGUGUAGCAGUGGAAUGCGUAGAGAUCGGGAAGAACAUCGGUGGCGAAGGCGGCCAGCUGGGCCGUUGCUGACGCUGAGGCGCGACAGCGUGGGGAGCAAACAGGAUUA
Molecule: ribosomal RNA, 700 nt
Filed under: uncultured bacterium
Lineage: Bacteria
Description: bacterial SSU rRNA
Rfam family: Bacterial small subunit ribosomal RNA
Source: RNAcentral